AGAGUUUGAUCCUGGCUCAGGACGAAUGCUAGCGGCGUGCCUAAGCUAUGCAAGUCGAGCGGGGUUUCAGAGUCGAGUUUCCUUCGGGAGACAAAGCACUGAAACCUAGCGGCAAACGGGUGGGUAACACGUGAGCAACCUACCCCGUUGUCCGGGAUAACAGACCGAAAGGCCUGCUAAUACCGGAUACGAAGCUCCUUCGCAUGUUGGAGCUUGGAAAGGGGCAACCCGCAAUGGGAGGGGCUUACGGCCUAUCAGCUAGUUGGUGAGGUAACGGCCCACCAAGGCGACGACGGGUAGCCGACCUGAGAGGGUGACCGGCCACACUGGGACUGAGACACGGCCCAGACUCCUACGGGAGGCAGCAAGCGGGAAUCUUGCACAAUGGGCGCAAGCCUGAUGCAGCGACGCCGCGUGAGGGAUGAAGGCCUUCGGGUCGUAAACCUCUGUUGAUGGGGACGAAGAUCUGACGGUACCCAUCGAGGAGCUCCGGCUAACUCCGUGCCAGCAGCCGCGGUAAUACGGAGGGAGCAGCGUUGUCCGGAUUACUGGGCGUAAGAGCGCGUAAGCGGUCCGUUAGUCGCUGUGAAUCCUGGCUUA
This 600-nucleotide ribosomal RNA is filed under the name uncultured bacterium. RNAcentral's name for it is "bacterial SSU rRNA". It matches the Rfam family "Bacterial small subunit ribosomal RNA", at positions 8 to 611 of the family's 1533-position model. The record is from RNAcentral.